RNAcentral lists this ribosomal RNA (525 nucleotides) under Triticum aestivum (bread wheat). RNAcentral describes it as "partial small subunit ribosomal RNA". Lineage: Eukaryota; Viridiplantae; Streptophyta; Magnoliopsida; Poales; Poaceae. The record is from RNAcentral.
AUGGCUUAUGCAUCUGCUUGUAGGACGACCAUCAUCCUACUCGCCGCCGUUUUAGCCGUGUUGGUCCUGCCAUCCUUAGCUUGUCGAAAGGCUCGAGCUCCGGCCCCGGCUCUGGCUCUGUCUCCGGCUCCGGCUCCGGCCCCGGCUCCGGCGCCCAUGCUAUUGUGCCAGGAUUGUGACUCGCGGUGUCAAUCGGCUUCGAUGUGCGAUGCCUACGUUGCCGCGGCGGGGUGCGGAAAUGCCUGCAGCGGCGCGACGCCGGACUGCGAGCCCUGCAUGUCCGAGGUCCUCCAGUCCUGCACGGCCAGCUGCAACGAGGGCUGCACCAGGAACUGCGUUGGCCAGUGCGACUGCGCCGGCUCAUGCAGCCAAGCCUGCGGCGAAGGCGCCCGGAGUACAUGUCAGUACAAGUGCGUCUACUCCUACUACGCGGUCAAAUCAUGCCACGAAUGCCAGGACAGUGCCCGCACGCGGUGCACCGAUACCUGCAACACCGACUGCAAGGCCAACUGUGUCAGCAGCUGA